UAGUCCACGCCGUAAACGAUGUCUACUAGCCGUUGGGGUACUUGAGACCUUAGUGGCGCAGCUAACGCACUAAGUAGACCGCCUGGGGAGUACGGCCGCAAGGUUAAAACUCAAAUGAAUUGACGGGGCCCGCACAAGCGGUGGAGCAUGUGGUUUAAUUCGAUGCAACGCGAAGAACCUUACCAGGUCUUGACAUCCAGAGAACUUUCCAGAGAUGGAUUGGUGCCUUCGGGAACUCUGUGACAGGUGCUGCAUGGCUGUCGUCAGCUCGUGUCGUGAGAUGUUGGGUUAAGUCCCGUAACGAGCGCAACCCUUGUCCUUAGUUGCUAGCAGGUAAUGCUGAGAACUCUAAGGAGACUGCCGGUGACAAACCGGGAGGAAGGUGGGGACGACGUCAAGUCAUCAUGGGCCCUUACGACCUGGGGCUACACACGUGCUACAAUGGCAAGUACAAAGGGGCUGCAACCCUGCGAAGGUGAGCGAAUCCC
This 488-nucleotide ribosomal RNA is filed under the name uncultured bacterium. RNAcentral's name for it is "bacterial SSU rRNA". It matches the Rfam family "Bacterial small subunit ribosomal RNA", at positions 791 to 1275 of the family's 1533-position model. The record is from RNAcentral.